RNAcentral lists this ribosomal RNA (615 nucleotides) under Tannerella forsythia. RNAcentral describes it as "bacterial SSU rRNA". It matches the Rfam family "Bacterial small subunit ribosomal RNA", at positions 126 to 738 of the family's 1533-position model. Lineage: Bacteria; Pseudomonadati; Bacteroidota; Bacteroidia; Bacteroidales; Tannerellaceae. The record is from RNAcentral.
CUGCCCGCAACAGGGGGAUAACCCGGCGAAAGUCGGACUAAUACCGCAUAAAACAGGGGUCCCGCAUGGGAAUAUUUGUUAAAGAUUUAUCGGUUGCGGAUGGGCAUGCGUACCAUUAGGUAGUUGGUGAGGUAACGGCUCACCAAGCCUUCGAUGGUUAGGGGUUCUGAGAGGAAGGUCCCCCACACUGGUACUGAGACACGGACCAGACUCCUACGGGAGGCAGCAGUGAGGAAUAUUGGUCAAUGGGCGAGAGCCUGAACCAGCCAAGUCGCGUGAAGGAUGACUGCCCUAUGGGUUGUAAACUUCUUUUACAAGGGAAUAAAAUGAGAUACGUGUAUUUUAUUGCAUGUACCUUGGGAAUAAGCAUCGGCUAACUCCGUGCCAGCAGCCGCGGUAAUACGGAGGAUGCGAGCGUUAUCCGGAUUUAUUGGGUUUAAAGGGUGCGUAGGUGGGCUGUUAAGUCAGCGGUGAAAGUUUGUCGCUUAACGAUAAAAUUGCCGUUGAAACUGGUAGUCUUGAGUAUAGAUGAAGUAGGCGGAAUGCGUGGUGUAGCGGUGAAAUGCAUAGAGAUCACGCAGAACUCCGAUUGCGAAGGCAGCUUACUAAGGUAUA